GGGCCCGCACAAGCGGUGGAGCAUGUGGUUUAAUUCGAAGCAACGCGAAGAACCUUACCAGGUCUUGACAUCGGAGUGCCAUUUUUAGAGAUAAGAAGUUCCUUCGGGACACUCUAGACAGGUGGUGCAUGGUUGUCGUCAGCUCGUGUCGUGAGAUGUUGGGUUAAGUCCCGCAACGAGCGCAACCCUUAUGUUUCGUUACCAUCAUUAAGUUGGGGACUCGAGACAGACUGCCGCAGACAAUGCGGAGGAAGGUGGGGAUGACGUCAAAUCAUCAUGCCCCUUAUGACCUGGGCUACACACGUGCUACAAUGGGGAGUACAACGAGCAGCAAGCUGGUGACAGCAAGCGAAUCUCUGAAAGCUCCUCUCAGUUCGGAUUGUAGGCUGCAACUCGCCUACAUGAAGCCGGAAUCGCUAGUAAUCGCGGAUCAGCACGCCGCGGUGAACUACG
Molecule: ribosomal RNA, 453 nt
Filed under: uncultured Lactobacillales bacterium
Lineage: Bacteria; Bacillati; Bacillota; Bacilli; Lactobacillales
Description: bacterial SSU rRNA
Rfam family: Bacterial small subunit ribosomal RNA
Source: RNAcentral